Non-coding RNA from Ciona intestinalis (vase tunicate), 542 nucleotides. NCBI's taxonomy places the organism in Eukaryota, Metazoa, Chordata, Ascidiacea, Phlebobranchia, Cionidae. The record is from RefSeq and is a predicted model, not a curated record.
GAAAUUUACAGAAUUAAAUAAUUGCAUCUUCACGACUCAAAACCAGCGAUGAAGUUUAAAAAACACAAUAUGAAAAUAUUGUAAAUGAUAUGUCAACGGUAUGCAUCUUACCCCACAGUAUUAUAUAUACGUUUAAAUUGUUUUAGCGCUAACUUAUAAUCACUAUCGAGUUUUCUCGAUUUUUGUGCCGCUAACUGAUUGCCUGAUUGCGGCGUGUUAGGCGCUUUUUGUUUCUUGCUAAACUUUUAGUGCUUCUCAGAUAACACCAGUUCGUUUUCGUUUUACUGUUGUUCUGUAUAGAUGUAUAAGGGACCUUUUUUAUGUGAAAAUCGUCGUCAAGUUAAUAUAUACUUCUUCGUCCCUUCGAUUUGCCAAUUCCAUCUCGUUUUCAUCGAUUGCUUCGGUAUUCUAGAAUGCAAGUCUUUGUUUAUAUUCGAGAAUUGAUUAUGACGUAAUAAAAACAAUUGAAAAACUUCCGUAAAUUUAAAUGCAGUAUAUGUACGCGCAAACUUUAUUAACUAUAAACCAAGCCUUAGUUUAAA